GAGGAAUAUUGGGCAAUGGGCGCAAGCCUGACCCAGCCAUGCCGCGUGAAGGAUGAAUGCCCUAUGGGUUGUAAACUUCUUUUGUACGGGACGAAUCUCUCGAACGUGUUCGGGACUGACUGUACCGUGCGAAUAAGCAUCGGCUAACUCCGUGCCAGCAGCCGCGGUAAUACGGAGGAUGCAAGCGUUAUCCGGAUUCAUUGGGGUUAAAGGGUGCGUAGGCGGAAGAAUAAGUCAGUGGUGAAAGCCUGCGGCUUAACCGUAGAAUUGCCAUUGAUACUGUUUUUCUUGAGUAUAGUUGAAGUGGGCGGAAUGUGUAAUGUAGCGGUGAAAUGCUUAGAUAUUACACAGAACACCAAUUGCGAAGGCAGCUCACUAAGCUGUUACUGACGCUGAGGCACGAAAGCGUGGGGAGCAAAC
RNAcentral lists this ribosomal RNA (420 nucleotides) under uncultured bacterium. RNAcentral's name for it is "bacterial SSU rRNA". It matches the Rfam family "Bacterial small subunit ribosomal RNA", at positions 356 to 773 of the family's 1533-position model. The record is from RNAcentral.